Molecule: long non-coding RNA, 1395 nt
Filed under: Anas platyrhynchos platyrhynchos (common mallard)
Lineage: Eukaryota; Metazoa; Chordata; Aves; Anseriformes; Anatidae
Description: lncRNA (ENSAPLG00000031125.1)
Source: RNAcentral
AUCCAACUGCCCAACAGGAAAACAAAAAAAAAAAAAAAUCAGCGAAGGAAACACCUACGCCGUAGGCUUGCAUUUCAGCAGCAGAAGUUGGCAGCCCGAAGAGCUCCCGCGGUGCAGGUAUGUGCGGUGCCGUGCGGUGCUCAGCACCCGCGGAGCGGCCCCGGGAGCACCUGUUGGAAACCCCCGGGGGGGUGCCGGUGCCGCAGCCCCCCGCACAGCCGGCGGGUCCCCCCGGAGCUGCUCCUUUUUUACCUGCUGCUGCUCCCGCGGCUCUCCAGCCCUCCGGCCGGGUCGCACCCCCGAGCUGGCGGCGGUCGGCUCCCCAGCUCCGUCCUGCCGCGCAUCUCUGCCGGGGGGGCAGCCCCACACAGCGCCGCUUCCAAAAGUCUCUUCAGGGAAGGGACUGAAGGGAAGGACCCCCCCCCCCCCCCCGCAAACACGGCCCCCCCCCCCCCCCCCCCAAACCCCCCCCCCCCCCCCCCGCGCCCCCUCGCCCCCCCCCCCCGGGGGCGAAAAAAAAGGAGCGGGGGGGGGGGGGCGGGGGGCCCCCCCCCCCCCCCGGGGGGGGGGGGGGGGCAGGGGGCGCACGACCCCUGGGGGCUGCGUGUCCCCACGACGAGCAUCCCCGGGGGGAGCCCCGCAACUCCGCCAAGUCCGAGAGCGGAGCUCCCGCGGGCGGUGCCGGGCGCUGCGCUCACCUGGACGCCGUGCGGGGUGGGGAAGGGGGGAAAUUGGGGGAUGAAGGGGGGGGGGCUCGGCCCCUCUCAGGACAUCACGGCGGCGGAGCGGCUCCUCCGGCAGCGGGGGCGCGGCGCUGCCUCACGCCGCGGCGCUCAGCCGCGCCUCCCUCCCGCACAUCCGCGGCCGCCGAGCCCCGGCCCCCGCUGGUGGCGGCGGCGGAGAAGGGGGGGGGGGGGGGGGGAGCCCCGGGGGGGGGGGGGGGGGGGGGGCGGGCCCCGCUCCCGUCGCCUCCCGCCUCGCCCCGCCCGCUCCGCUGCCGCCACCGGCCCCCCCCGGGAGAGCCUCAGCUCCUCUGAUGCGUCUAGGGGGUGCCUUCUCCUUCCCCCUCCAUCCCUUUUUUCCUUUUUUUUUUUUUCUCCCCUCUUCAUCCCACUUUUCUCCCUGGUAGCCGUUUUUCUUUUCCACGCGUUUCCCCAUUUCUCCCUUCCUUGUUUUCAUUCCCUCCCAUUUUCCCACCUUUUUUUUUUUUUUUUUUUUUUUUUUUUCUUUCCCCCCCUCCCCUUCUCCCCCUGUCCACUUUUCCCCAUCCCUCUCCCUACCAAAAGAUUUCAGCACAGGAUCCUGUGGCCAGGCGCCCAGCAGCCUCCCUCUCCGAGGAGCUGGCCAAGGGUUGUGGAAGCAUGUCCCCAGGGGUGGGGGCUACAGCAGCCCUGA